RNAcentral lists this ribosomal RNA (460 nucleotides) under uncultured bacterium. Its description in RNAcentral is "partial 16S ribosomal RNA". It matches the Rfam family "Bacterial small subunit ribosomal RNA", at positions 338 to 795 of the family's 1533-position model. The record is from RNAcentral.
CCUACGGUGAGCAGCAGUGAGGAAUAUUGGUCAAUGGCCGUAAGGCUGAACCAGCCAAGUCGCGUGAAGGAAGAAGGAUCUAUGGUUUGUAAACUUCUUUUAUAGGGGAAUAAAGGUAUCCACGUGUGGAUAUUUGCAUGUACCCUAUGAAUCAGCAUCGGCUAACUCCGUGCCAGCAGCCGCGGUAAUACGGAGGAUGCGAGCGUUAUCCGGAUUUAUUGGGUUUAAAGGGUGCGUAGGUUGGUUUUUAAGUCAGCGGUGAAAGUUUGUGGAUCAACCAUAAAAUUGCCGUUGAAACUGGAAGACGUGAGUGUUGUUGAGGGAGGCGGAAGGCGUGGUGUAGCGGUGAAAUGCAUAGAUAUCACGCAGAACUCCGAUUGCGAAGGCAGAUUACUAAGCCAUAACUGACACUGAAGCACGAAAGCGUGGGGAUCAAACAGGAUUAGAGACCCGGGUAGUC